This is a long non-coding RNA of Esox lucius (northern pike), 681 nucleotides long. RefSeq lists it as uncharacterized. The transcript is spliced from 3 exons. Lineage: Eukaryota; Metazoa; Chordata; Actinopteri; Esociformes; Esocidae. The record is from RefSeq and is a predicted model, not a curated record.
ACAGAGGGUAAGUCACCAGUAGAAUAUGAGGAGGUCUUUAAACAGAGGGUAAGUCACCAGUAGAAUAUGAGGAGGUCCUUAAACAGAGGGUAGGUCAUCAGAAGAAUGAGGUCUUUAAACAGAGGGUAGGUCAUCAGUAGAAUGAGGUCUUUAAACAGAGGGUAGGUCAUCAGUAGAAUAUGAGGAGGUCUAUAAACAGAGGGUAGGUCAUCAGUAGAAUGAGGUCUUUAAACAGAGGGUAGGUCAUCAGUAGAAUGAGGUCUUUAAACAGAGGGUAGGUCAUCAGUAGAAUAUGAGGAGGUCCUUAAACAGAGGGUAGGUCAUCAGUAGAAUAUGAGGAGGUCUUUAAACAGAGGGUAGGUCAUCAGUAGAAUAUGAGGAGGUCCUUAAACAGAGGGUAGGUCAUCAGAAGAAUGAGGUCUUUAAACAGAGGGUAGGUCAUCAGUAGAAUGAGGUCUUUAAACAGAGGGUAGGUCAUCAGUAGAAUGAGGUCUUUAAACAGAGGGUAGGUCAUCAGUAGAAUAUGAGGAGGUCUAUAAACAGAGGGUAGAUCAUCAGUAGAAUGAGGAAGUCCUUAAACAGAGGGUAGGUCAUCAGUAGAAUGAGGUCUUUAAACAAAGGGUAGGUCAUCAGUAGAAUAUGAGGAGGUCCUUAAACAGAGGGUAGGUCAUCAGUAGAAUA